RNAcentral lists this ribosomal RNA (280 nucleotides) under uncultured bacterium. RNAcentral's name for it is "partial 16S ribosomal RNA". It matches the Rfam family "Bacterial small subunit ribosomal RNA", at positions 506 to 784 of the family's 1533-position model. The record is from RNAcentral.
UGCCAGCCGCCGCGGUAAUACGGGGGGUGCAAGCGUUAAUCGGAAUUAUUGGGCGUAAAGGGUUCGUAGGCUGUAUUCUGCUGUUGAAUGUUAAAAAUUAAAGCCUAACUUUGAAACUGCAUUCAAAACGUUUAUACUUGAGUGCGAAAUAGGACAAUGGAAUUUUACAAGGAGGGGUGAAAUCCGUAGAACUGUAAAGGAACGUCAAAAGCGAAGGCAAUUGUCUGGGUUGUUACUGACGCUAAGGAACGAAAGCGUGGUUAUCAAACAGGAUUAGAUA